AGUGAACGCUGGCGGUAGGCCUAACACAUGCAAGUCGAACGGCAGCACAGUAAGAGCUUGCUCUUACGGGUGGCGAGUGGCGGACGGGUGAGGAAUACAUCGGAAUCUACUUUUUCGUGGGGGAUAACGUAGGGAAACUUACGCUAAUACCGCAUACGACCUACGGGUGAAAGCAGGGGAUCCUCGGACCUUGCGCGAUUGAAUGAGCCGAUGUCGGAUUAGCUAGUUGGCGGGGUAAAGGCCCACCAAGGCGACGAUCCGUAGCUGGUCUGAGAGGAUGAUCAGCCACACUGGAACUGAGACACGGUCCAGACUCCUACGGGAGGCGGCAGUGGGGAAUAUUGGACAAUGGGCGCAAGCCUGAUCCAGCCAUACCGCGUGGGUGAAGAAGGCCUUCGGGUUGUAAAGCCCUUUUGUUGGGAAAGAAAAGCAGCAGGUUAAUACCCCGCUGUUCUGACGGUACCCAAAGAAUAAGCACCGGCUAACUUCGUG
This 492-nucleotide ribosomal RNA is filed under the name uncultured bacterium. RNAcentral describes it as "partial 16S ribosomal RNA". It matches the Rfam family "Bacterial small subunit ribosomal RNA", at positions 29 to 507 of the family's 1533-position model. The record is from RNAcentral.